Molecule: transfer RNA, 103 nt
Filed under: Streptococcus suis
Lineage: Bacteria; Bacillati; Bacillota; Bacilli; Lactobacillales; Streptococcaceae
Description: tRNA-Ala
Rfam family: tRNA (bases 1-73)
About the family: Transfer RNA (tRNA) molecules are approximately 80 nucleotides in length. Their secondary structure includes four short double-helical elements and three loops (D, anti-codon, and T loops).
Source: RNAcentral
GGGGCCUUAGCUCAGCUGGGAGAGCGCCUGCUUUGCACGCAGGAGGUCAGCGGUUCGAUCCCGCUAGGCUCCAUUAUCUAGGAUACAGAGUAACCUAGAUAAC